Long non-coding RNA from Centruroides sculpturatus (bark scorpion), 406 nucleotides. RefSeq lists it as uncharacterized. The transcript is spliced from 2 exons. The record is from RefSeq and is a predicted model, not a curated record. NCBI's taxonomy places the organism in Eukaryota, Metazoa, Arthropoda, Arachnida, Scorpiones, Buthidae.
GUACAGGAUGGACAAUUUCAUAUUUCAUAUACAACUUGGAGAAUGUGUUGUAAUUGUCAAUCUAUUUAUUUGAAUUUUGUGUAAAUUAUAAGAAAGCCAUAUUUAAAAGCCCAGUAGUCAAGCUGUUAUCUACGACCCUGUUUGUUCUCCAAUGAUUAUCGUCGACCUUGUUUGUUCUCCAAGUUGUAUAUGAAAUAUGAAAUUGUCCAUCCUGUACGACAUCUGUACAAUAGUGGUUUGUGUUUUAUGUUGGCUGAAGAGGGGCCAAUGCCCGAAACGCGUAAUGUAAAAGGCGUCCCAACUGAAUAAAUAGUCAAUAAGUUGCCAAGUGUUGAUAUAUGUCACCUUAGUGUGUCUGCAAAGAAUCAGCUUAAUAACAACAACACGGUUUCAUCAGAAUCAAAAA